Molecule: ribosomal RNA, 24 nt
Filed under: Austrofundulus limnaeus
Lineage: Eukaryota; Metazoa; Chordata; Actinopteri; Cyprinodontiformes; Rivulidae
Description: partial 16S ribosomal RNA
Source: RNAcentral
UACUUAAUAACUAGCUUACACGAC